RNA transcript from Mercurialis annua (annual mercury), 1888 nucleotides. It is a transcript of the gene named eukaryotic peptide chain release factor subunit 1-3, with no coding region annotated. NCBI's taxonomy places the organism in Eukaryota, Viridiplantae, Streptophyta, Magnoliopsida, Malpighiales, Euphorbiaceae. The transcript has 3 exons. The record is from RefSeq and is a predicted model, not a curated record.
CAUUAUCUCCUAUAUAUAUAUUCUUCAUCUGUAUUGAUUAUUGGGAGGCGAUCAUCAGCCGCAUCGUUUCUACCGCACACGACACAUCAGGUAGUCUGUCUGCUGCUCUUUUAGACCGCGUCAAAAUGUCAGACAGUCACGAGACUGAUAAAAAUAUCGAAAUAUGGAAGAUUAAAAAGCUUAUAAAAGCACUGGAAGCUGCUCGAGGCAAUGGCACCAGCAUGAUUUCUCUUAUCAUGCCUCCUCGUGAUCAGAUAUCCCGUGUUACUAAGAUGCUUGGAGAUGAGUUUGGAACAGCUUCAAACAUUAAAAGUAGGGUCAAUCGUCAAUCUGUGUUAGGGGCAAUUACCUCUGCCCAGCAAAGGCUCAAACUUUAUAACAAGGUUCCUCCUAAUGGCCUUGUGCUUUACACUGGAACAAUUGUCACUGAUGAUGGCAAAGAAAAGAAGGUGACCAUUGAUUUUGAGCCUUUUAGGCCCAUCAAUGCAUCCCUUUACCUAUGUGACAACAAAUUUCACACGGAAGCUUUGAAUGAGCUUUUGGAAUCUGAUGACAAGUUUGGCUUUAUUGUCAUGGAUGGCAAUGGGACCCUUUUUGGUACACUUAGCGGUAACACCCGAGAGGUUCUUCAUAAGUUUACUGUUGACCUGCCAAAGAAGCACGGUAGAGGAGGGCAAUCAGCUCUUCGAUUUGCUCGACUUCGGAUGGAGAAGCGUCACAACUAUGUUAGGAAGACAGCGGAGCUUGCCACCCAAUUUUAUAUUAACCCUGCUACCAGCCAGCCCAAUGUGUCGGGAUUGAUUCUGGCUGGAUCUGCUGACUUCAAAACUGAGCUGAGUCAGUCUGAUAUGUUUGAUCAACGUCUUCAAGCCAAAAUUCUGAAUGUGGUUGAUGUUUCAUAUGGAGGGGAGAAUGGUUUUAAUCAAGCAAUUGAGCUGUCAUCAGAAAUUCUAUCCAAUGUGAAGUUUAUACAGGAGAAGCGCCUGAUAGGAAAGUAUUUUGAAGAGAUUAGCCAGGAUACUGGAAAAUAUGUCUUUGGUGUUGAAGACACGCUGAAAGGGUUAGAGAUGGGGGCUGUUGAAACUCUCAUUGUGUGGGAGAAUUUGGAUAUUGCUAGAUAUACUUUGAAAAACAGCACUACUGGUGAGAUUAUGAUAAAACAUUUGAAUAAGGAGCAGGAGGCUAAUCAGAAUAACUUAAAGAAUACGGGCAGUUCAGAUGAAUUAGAGGUUCAGGAAAAGAUGCCACUGCUCGAGUGGUUUGCUAAUGAGUACAAGCGGUUUGGUUGCACUUUGGAGUUUGUGACCAACAAAUCACAAGAAGGAUCUCAGUUUUGUCGAGGUUUUGGAGGGAUUGGUGGAAUUCUACGCUACCAGCUUGAUAUGAGGGAUUUUGAUGAGCUUUCUGAUACUGAGGUUAAUGAUGACUCAGAAUAGCAAUCAACCAACUCUACCCCGUUGCUGGUGCAGGAGAAUGGGGUGAAAAUGCUUGCACCAGCGGGCGAGCGCUGCACGCGAGAUAUGGUGUUUGCGGAUGCUCGAUGCUCAAAAUAUUUGUCACGAUUUUAAUUGAGGAAAUCAAGUGGUUCUCAUGGAGCAGCAGGUGGAAGUAAUGUGGAGGUCAAAAUGAAUGCGAAUAUUGGUACAACUUAAGCUUGAUCAUAUUGAUCUGAGUGUUUGAUGUCGGAAAUGAAGACAGAUGGUUUUUUUGGAUCUUAUUUUUAUUAUCUGAUAUGUGUUGUUUCUUCUCUUUAGAGAAUAUUGGACUAGCAAUAAGUUUGGUUUGUGGAAUACUGUUAUUUUCUCUAUAGCGACACUAUGUUUAAUAUCUCGGUUAUGAUACUUGCAAUAAGUUAAAAAUCGUGGCUGGUGCCAUUGAUAUUUUUUAA